This 26-nucleotide non-coding RNA is filed under the name Rattus norvegicus (Norway rat). Lineage: Eukaryota; Metazoa; Chordata; Mammalia; Rodentia; Muridae. The record is from RNAcentral.
UACAUAGCUGGGAUGAAGGUUGAGAC